CAUUGGUGGAGUGAGUGGUGGCCACAAUGGGUCAAGUCACACCCUGUCAUCCCUUUCGAGUUCCAACCAGCAUUAUUAAGAGGCUUUCGAAUUCUUAUCUAUUCCUGGUAGUACAGACACCAAAGCAAAGGGGGUGUCAGGGCUCCGUUCCUUCGCCUCCACGCUGCCUCUCAGCCGUGACCGGCCUCUCCCCUCUUAAUGCCAUCGUAUGCUCUCCUCACCCACCUUGCACACAUCCCUAUUCUCUCACUGACAUCUUCUCCCAGUCUUCCCCUCCUCUCACACUUCACCUACUCCUUUGCCACCAUUAGUACCUGUGUAAAGAGUGUGAGAGAGAGCAUCUACGCUUUGCUUUGCUUUGCCUCCUCUUGGAUGGAGCAAUGAGUUGGCAUCACAGUUGACACCAAGCUUUGUUUUUUUGCCAGCUUUGUGAGAGUUUUGUUAGGAGGUUUAACAUCUAUCUCUCUCUCUCUCUCUGUCACAUGCCUUCUUUUUUUUUAUUAAUGACUCUGAGUGGAGAGGGGCGACAUGUGAGGAGGCUCUCUGUAUCUCUUUCCUUGGCUCUCUCUCCAAUCCCAUACGCCUAUCCCCUCGCAGCCUUUGAAGGGGCCAGCCCAACUUUAAAAAGAGUGAGGUAUUUGUGCUGCUGCACACUGAAACAAGGUGGGAAUAGGAUGCGCUGUCCCUCUUGUGGGACACAACUCGAUGCCUGGCCAUCCACCUGGUGAGGGACCAACUCCCAGCACUCUUGUCUGAUGCUGGUGGGCUCAGCACCAAGUGGCAAGGAUUCAGGCAGCAGGCAUGACCCUUGGUGUGGGAGGUACAGAAGAUUGAUUCAAUUGUCUGCAGAGUAACUUAUUGUGAUUGUCCCUGUCCUUGGCAAGAUAGUAUGUAUCUUGGUGGCAUCAAGCCAUCAAGGCAAGACCUGGUUAGAAGGGAACUCCAUUAAAUGGUGUUUGCAAGCUAUCAAUUACGCAAUUAAGAUUCCAAAAUGAUACAGUGUUCUUUUCGGCACUUGGAGACUUCAUAAGCAAGCAGAAGGUUAUGGAGAUUUACAUGUAUAUGUAGAAGGAAACUGGAUUGCAGAAUCUGCAUCCCUGCAGGGGAUAGCAUUUAUUUGGAGCACAAAUUUAUCCAAAAGGCCUCGUGAAGUGUUUAUCUGAAAACAGGGGGAAGAAAUCCUGUAAGUUCCAUUAUGAAGCCCCCUACAUUUGCAGCCUCCUGUAGUUGGAUGCUAAGACAUGUAUAUUUCUUGUACGAGUAUGUUGGCAAUUUCACAACUAGAGUUAAUUUAAUAACUCGAAGUCUAUAGGUUUUGAGUAAUUUUGAGU
Molecule: long non-coding RNA, 1331 nt
Filed under: Phoenix dactylifera (date palm)
Lineage: Eukaryota; Viridiplantae; Streptophyta; Magnoliopsida; Arecales; Arecaceae
Description: long non-coding RNA (PDAC_LNC001209)
Source: RNAcentral